GCAUUAGUGAUUCAGUGGUAGAAGUAUUACCUUCCAUGCGAGAGACCCUGGUUCGACUCCCAGCCAAUGCA
This 71-nucleotide transfer RNA is filed under the name Loxodonta africana (African savanna elephant). It matches the Rfam family "tRNA". From Rfam's summary of the family: Transfer RNA (tRNA) molecules are approximately 80 nucleotides in length. The record is from Rfam by way of RNAcentral. Lineage: Eukaryota; Metazoa; Chordata; Mammalia; Proboscidea; Elephantidae.